GGAACGAGAGAAGGCUUGGGUAAACUCUUUCAAGGAAGAAGAUAUGCGGUACGAGGAAUAAGCCACGUAAUCCGUGCCAGCAGCCGCGGUAAUACGGGAGUGGCAAGCGUUAUCCGGAAUUAUUGGGCGUAAAGCGUCCGCAGGCGGCCUUUCAAGUCUGCUGUUAAAGCGUGGAGCUUAACUCCAUUAUGGCAGUGGAAACUGAUCGGCUUGAGUAUGGUAGGGGCAGAGGGAAUUCCCGGUGUAGCGGUGAAAUGCGUAGAUAUCGGGAAGAACACCAGUGGCGAAGGCGCUCUGCUGGGCCAUUACAGACGCUCAUGGACGAAAGCCAGGGGAGCGAAAGGGAUUAGAUACCCCGGUAGUCCUGGCCGU
Molecule: ribosomal RNA, 372 nt
Filed under: uncultured bacterium
Lineage: Bacteria
Description: bacterial SSU rRNA
Rfam family: Bacterial small subunit ribosomal RNA
Source: RNAcentral